AGGUGACGGGCAAUCCUGAGCCACAGCAGAGCAUGAGCCAGCAAGAAGGGGAAGUUGGGGGUAGGGAGAGGCUGGGCCCCACUGGAGCCACUCGGUGCCAGCCCAGCCCGGCAGCAGCCCUGGGAGGAGGGGUCGUGCCACCUCGUGCCGGGCAGCCGAGGGUGACAGUGGCCCAGCUCUGAGGCCAGCUGUGGCCAAGGGACACAGGCCGGGCCCUGCCCCCAUCACCGGCCUCUUUGUUCCCAGCCUGGCUCUGCCCUGGCUCCCCUCCCCCACCACCCUGGGAUGCAGAAUUCCUGGGUAUGUCUGUGCAUUGCACACAUGCCACAGCAGCAGAGGCCAGAGAGGACAUCAGAUCCCCCGGGACUGGAGUUACAGACAGCUGCGGGCUGCCGUGUGGGUGCUGGAGAUUGAAUCUGGGUCCUCUGGAUGGCUUAGGAGGGAGAGUCCGGAACUGUUUAGGCCUGAGCACAGUCAUUCCUCAUCCUCAGCACUUUGAGUAUCCGGGAGCUUCUGCACUCACCGUUCACCGGGCAGAGAAUCUCCUCCGCUCAAGAUAAGGAACAGACUUGUCUAAGGGUAUAAACAAGCUUUUAGAAGUCAGCUAACUUCGGAGAACCACAGUAACACUCAAUGAUACUCAAUAAUACCACCCCCCAGCCUAUGACCUCCCCAGCUGUGAGUUUCUAAACAGCUUGAAAUUAAAAUUCUGAAAAUAUGAAGCAUUAGAACUCCUGCCUAGAACCCUCAGUGAGGGGCUGGGGGCGUGGCUCAGUGGUAGAGCCGGGCCUCGAACACGUCUGUCUCUUAGUUCCAUCUCCCGUACUGAAAAAGGAGAUAUUUACAUUACAUCCAAUGCCCACAUCUUUGUCCAAGUGCAUUAUGGGAAUCUGUUCAGGUUUUAAAGCAAGGAGUGCUUGGAGGCGCUGGCUCACGCCAGUUGGAGUUGGGAAAUGGAGGCUCAAGGAGGGUGGGGUGCCUUGCUACAGUGUGGCAACAGGGUUGCUGCUGGAAAUAGGCCAUGAACCGGAACACCCCAAGCCCGGGCUCUUAUCCCUGGAGAACUGCUACUUUGUUGCUUGGUAUUAGUCAAAACAAAACAAACUGGUGUCCAAAUGGCUCGCCUUUCAAGAAUAUAAUGUGGCCAGGGCCCAACACUAUCACGAGACCCCCCGCGGGGGGGCCUCUGCCUCCCCCUGUCAUGUCUGUCCCCACGUGCUGGCUGCUGGUUACGGGAGAGCGGUUGACUCAGCCCUGAAGCUGUGCCUCCUUGUAAGGGGCCGGGUUCUGUGCUGUGAGGUGUGGCUGCACCCAAGCACCGCUCCUCACAUCCCACAUGCCGCCUCUCCCCAGAGCUUUCUGCCAGUUCCUCACCCGGAUCUUAGGCCACGGCAUAGCUAGGUCUCCUUUCUCUUGUCCUGGUGGCACCCUGUCUAGUGUGUGGCCCCGGCUUGGCUUGAGUCCUCUGCGGCUGUGGGGAUGGGAGA
Molecule: long non-coding RNA, 1487 nt
Organism: Meriones unguiculatus (Mongolian gerbil)
Lineage: Eukaryota; Metazoa; Chordata; Mammalia; Rodentia; Muridae
Exons: 3
Source: RefSeq, a predicted model, not a curated record